Molecule: ribosomal RNA, 1041 nt
Filed under: Salmonella enterica subsp. enterica serovar Typhimurium
Lineage: Bacteria; Pseudomonadati; Pseudomonadota; Gammaproteobacteria; Enterobacterales; Enterobacteriaceae
Description: partial 23S ribosomal RNA
Rfam family: Bacterial large subunit ribosomal RNA
Source: RNAcentral
GGGAGCCGGAGGGAAACCGAGUCUUAAUUGGGCGUUAAGUUGCAGGGUAUAGACCCGAAACCCGGUGAUCUAGCCAUGGGCAGGUUGAAGGUUGGGUAACACUAACUGGAGGACCGAACCGACUAAUGUUGAAAAAUUAGCGGAUGACCUGUGGCUGGGGGUGAAAGGCCAAUCAAACCGGGAGAUAGCUGGUUCUCCCCGAAAGCUAUUUAGGUAGCGCCUCGUGAAUUCAUCUCCGGGGGUAGAGCACUGUUUCGGCUAGGGGGCCAUCCCGGCUUACCAACCCGAUGCAAACUGCGAAUACCGGAGAAUGUUAUCACGGGAGACACACGGCGGGUGCUAACGUCCGUCGUGAAGAGGGAAACAACCCAGACCGCCAGCUAAGGUCCCAAAGUCAUGGUUAAGUGGGAAACGAUGUGGGAAGGCCCAGACAGCCAGGAUGUUGGCUUAGAAGCAGCCAUCAUUUAAAGAAAGCGUAAUAGCUCACUGGUCGAGUCGGCCUGCGCGGAAGAUGUAACGGGGCUAAACCAUGCACCGAAGCUGCGGCAGCGAACGUAUCACCCAAGACAACUUUACGGAGUUGACGAUUGACGGAGCGAAGCGACGUCAAAGCGUUCAUUAAAGUCGAGUUGGCUUAGGGAUACGUUCGUUGGGUAGGGGAGCGUUCUGUAAGCCUGUGAAGGUGUGUCGUGAGGCAUGCUGGAGGUAUCAGAAGUGCGAAUGCUGACAUAAGUAACGAUAAAGCGGGUGAAAAGCCCGCUCGCCGGAAGACCAAGGGUUCCUGUCCAACGUUAAUCGGGGCAGGGUGAGUCGACCCCUAAGGCGAGGCCGAAAGGCGUAGUCGAUGGGAAACGGGUUAAUAUUCCCGUACUUGGUGUUACUGCGAAGGGGGGACGGAGAAGGCUAUGUUGGCCGGGCGACGGUUGUCCCGGUUUAAGCGUGUAGGUGUGUGUUCCAGGUAAAUCCGGUUCACUUUAACACUGAGGCGUGACGACGAGGCACUACGGUGCUGAAGCAACAAAUGCCCUGCUUCCAGGAAAA